UACGAAGGGGGCUAGCGUUGCUCGGAUUUACUGGGCGUAAAGGGCGCGUAGGCGGACAGUUAAGUUGGGGGUGAAAGCCCGGGGCUCAACCUCGGAAUUGCCUUCAAUACUGGCUGUCUUGAGUGUGAGAGAGGUGUGUGGAACUCCGAGUGUAGAGGUGAAAUUCGUAGAUAUUCGGAAGAACACCAGUGGCGAAGGCGACACACUGGCUCACUACUGACGCUGAGGCGCGAAAGCGUGGGGAGCGAACCGG
This 253-nucleotide ribosomal RNA is filed under the name uncultured bacterium. RNAcentral describes it as "partial 16S ribosomal RNA". It matches the Rfam family "Bacterial small subunit ribosomal RNA", at positions 524 to 776 of the family's 1533-position model. The record is from RNAcentral.